UGACCGCUGGCGGCGUGCCUACUACAUGCACGUCGAGCGAACAGACGAGGAGCUUGCUCCUCUGACGUUAGCGGCGGACGGGUGAGUAACACGUGGAUAACCUACCUAUAAGACUGGGAUAACUUCGGGAAACCGGAGCUAAUACCGGAUAAUAUAUUGAACCGCAUGGUUCAAUAGUGAAAGACGGUUUUGCUGUCACUUAUAGAUGGAUCCGCGCCGCAUUAGCUAGUUGGUAAGGUAACGGCUUACCAAGGCGACGAUGCGUAGCCGACCUGAGAGGGUGAUCGGCCACACUGGAACUGAGACACGGUCCAGACUCCUACGGGAGGCAGCAGUAGGGAAUCUUCCGCAAUGGGCGAAGGCCUGACGGAGCAACGCCGCGUGAGUGAUGAAGGUCUUCGGAUCGUAAAACUCUGUUAUUAGGGAAGAACAAAUGUGUAAGUAACUAUGCACGUCUUGACGGUACCUAAUCAGAAAGCCACGGCUAACUACGUG
Molecule: ribosomal RNA, 495 nt
Filed under: uncultured bacterium
Lineage: Bacteria
Description: partial 16S ribosomal RNA
Rfam family: Bacterial small subunit ribosomal RNA
Source: RNAcentral